UCGAGAAUCUUCGGCAAUGGGCGCAAGCCUGACCGAGCGACGCCGCGUGCGGGAUGAAGGCCUUCGGGUUGUAAACCGCUGUCGUAGGGGAGGAAGGCUCCGUGCAGAACGGAGUUUGACCGAUCCUAGGAGGAAGGGCCGGCUAAUCUCGUGCCAGCAGCCGCGGUAAUACGAGAGGCCCAAACGUUAUUCGGAAUUACUGGGCUUAAAGAGUUCGUAGGCGGCGCAGAAAGUAGGGUGUGAAAGCCCUCGGCUUAACCGAGGAAUUGCGCUCUAAACUACUGUGCUUGAGGAACCUAGAGGUGAGCAGAACUGAUGGUGGAGCGGUGAAAUGCGUUGAUAUCAUCAGGAAUACCGGAGGCGAAGGCGGCUCACUGGGGGUUUUCUGACGCUGAGGAACGAAAGCCAGGGGAGCGAACG
RNAcentral lists this ribosomal RNA (420 nucleotides) under uncultured Pirellula sp. Its description in RNAcentral is "bacterial SSU rRNA". It matches the Rfam family "Bacterial small subunit ribosomal RNA", at positions 355 to 774 of the family's 1533-position model. The record is from RNAcentral. Lineage: Bacteria; Pseudomonadati; Planctomycetota; Planctomycetia; Pirellulales; Pirellulaceae.